GAAUUAUUUUUCCAAUUUUAAAAAAUCUUCCUUUUGCUUCGUGGAUAAAAAUCACAUGUCUAUCCAGUUAUAAGAAAAAUAGAGAAAUGCAUCAUCCCAUAAAUUUUUGCUAAGUGAUAACAUAGUCCAGAAGUCAAGUCAUAUUUCUAACAUAGUUCUAGAAUCACUUCAUACUGGAUGCAGAAGAAAAGAAAAGUGAGGAUCAGAAAUGAUUCUACAGUCCUAUCCUCUCUGGAAAUGAUGUACAAAAGAAAUAAGUAUCAUAUGCAUCUCACAGAGAAAUGUUUUAUGGAUAAUUUAAAGUGGAAGAAGGGAAUCGAAGGAGUGAGCAAGGAAGAAAGGAAGGAAAGAAGGAAAGAACGAAGGAAGGAAGGGAGGGAGGGAAACAUGAUUUUCCCAAAAUCAAAUUAAAAUGCCUUAAUAAAACACUCCAAAAAUAACAUUUUAUUUUCACAAAAUUAUCUUUCUCCUGAGAAAAGAAGAUAAUUUUGAGAGAUAUAGUGCAUAAAUAUCCACAUUCUCACGUAUUUCAGUAAUAAAAAGUUAAGUCUUAUUUAUAAGUCUAGUGGACAUUUUAAAAGUUUUGAAUGGUAUCUAACCUGUUUUAUGGUCAUUUUAUCCUUUAUUAAUCAUAGCUAUUUCUUCAUAACUAUAGUUUCCCUUUUUAAUUAACUUAUAUAAAAUAUAUUUUACCAUAAACGAAUGUUGUUCAAUAAUUACUAGGUAAAUUUGGGUAAUAGUAACAACAUUAAUUGAAAAUGGUGCAAAUUUAGAGUGAAUGAGGACAGAAAGCAGAAAUAUUUGAGUAAGUUUUGGAGUAAAGUCAUCAUAUUUUUAGCCAACAUGCAGGCACAGGUAAUCUCUUUAUUGUAAACUUAAUGUGUCAGCUCAAAAAAAGAGAGAAUCUUGAUCUGGAUACUUAUUUAUUUGCUGUCAGAAUAAUCAUCAUGACUGACAUGUUACUUUGGAUAAAUGAAAAUAUUUUAUUAGCUUAUAAUAGACGAAUGUUCAGACUAUACAACAUUUGAAACUAAAUUGGGAACAUUCUCACCAGUACAAUGAACAACAAAGUGAAAAUGCCACUUUUCAAUAUUUGUAUAGAAAAGGGAGAGUGAUAGGGAUUGUUCUGAAAGGAUGUGGCUGUGCUAACAAUUGCAUAGUCUUAAAUAUAGUGCUGUAAUUCUGUGAAAAUACUUUCACUUGGAGAAAGAGCAGAUAUGUGGCCUCCAGAAAAGCAGCUCUGUGUUUUUGUUGUUUCUUAUAAAUAAAUUGUACUGCUAAUUCUCCUGCCUCUCUCUCCUUGCUGCCUGCCUCUGAAAUCCCCUUAUCCUCUCCUGAUAGACAGACACAAAUUGAAUUACCAAACAAAAAAAAAAAAAAAAUUGAAA
This 1388-nucleotide long non-coding RNA is filed under the name Chinchilla lanigera (long-tailed chinchilla). RNAcentral's name for it is "lncRNA (ENSCLAG00000026333.1)". Lineage: Eukaryota; Metazoa; Chordata; Mammalia; Rodentia; Chinchillidae. The record is from RNAcentral.